This 317-nucleotide ribosomal RNA is filed under the name uncultured CFB-group bacterium 87ev. Its description in RNAcentral is "bacterial SSU rRNA". It matches the Rfam family "Bacterial small subunit ribosomal RNA", at positions 9 to 327 of the family's 1533-position model. Lineage: Bacteria; Pseudomonadati; Bacteroidota. The record is from RNAcentral.
GAGUUUGAUCCUGGCUCAGGAUGAACGCUAGCGGGAGGCCUAACACAUGCAAGUCGAACGGGAUCCCCGAGCAAUCGGGGUGAGAGUGGCGCACGGGUGAGUAACGCGUAUGCAACCUACCUUUAACUGAGGGAUAGCCCAUAGAAAUGUGGAUUAAUACCUCAUAGUUCUAUUAAGCCGCAUGGUUUGAUAGAUAAAGCUCCGGCGGUUAAAGAUGGGCAUGCGUGACAUUAGCUAGUUGGUAAGGUAACGGCUUACCAAGGCUACGAUGUCUAGGGGUUCUGAGAGGAUGAUCCCCCACACUGGUACUGAGACAC